GCAGGCUCGCGCUUGAAUACAUUAGCAUGGAAUAAUGAAAUAGGACGUUCGAUCCUAUUUUGUUGGUUUCUAGGAUUGACGUAAUGAUUAAUAGGGAUAGUUGGGGGCAUUAGUAUUCAAUUGUCAGAGGUGAAAUUCUUGGAUUUAUUGAAGACUAACUACUGCGAAAGCAUUUGCCAAGGAUGUUUUCAUUAAUCAAGAACGAAAGUUAGGGGAUCGAAGACGAUCAGAUACCGUCGUAGUCUUAACCAUAAACUAUGCCGACUAGGGAUCGGAUGAUGUUACUUUUAAUGACUCAUUCGGCGCCUUACGGGAAACCAAAGUGUUUGGGUUCCGGGGGGAGUAUGGUCGCAAGGCUGAAACUUAAAGGAAUUGACGGAAGGGCACCACCAGGCGUGGAGCCUGCG
RNAcentral lists this ribosomal RNA (407 nucleotides) under uncultured Glomus. RNAcentral describes it as "SSU rRNA". It matches the Rfam family "Eukaryotic small subunit ribosomal RNA", at positions 780 to 1187 of the family's 1831-position model. The record is from RNAcentral. Lineage: Eukaryota; Fungi; Glomeromycota; Glomeromycetes; Glomerales; Glomeraceae.